AGCAGCCGCGGUAAUUCCAGCUCCAAUAGCGUAUAUUAAAGUUGUUGCAGUUAAAAAGCUCGUAGUUGAAUUUCGGGAUCAAUAUGUUGGUCGUGCCUUGGUACGUACUGGCAUUAUCGAUUCCUACCUUCUGAAGAACCUCGAUGUCAUUAAUUUGGUGUCUUGGGGAAUCAGGACUGUUACUUUGAAAAAAUUAGAGUGUUUAAAGCAGGCUCGCGCCUGAAUACAUUAGCAUGGAAUAAUGAAAUAGGACGUUUGAUUCUAUUUUGUUGGUUUCUAGGAUCGGCGUAAUGAUUAAUAGGGAUAGUUGGGGGCAUUAGUAUUCAAUUGUCAGAGGUGAAAUUCUUGGAUUUAUUGAAGACUAACUACUGCGAAAGCAUUUGCCAAGGAUGUUUUCAUUAAUCAAGAGCGAAAGUUAGGGGGAUCGAAGAACGAUCAGAUACCGUCGUAGUCUUAACCAUAAACUAUGCCGACUAGGGAUCGGAUGAUGUUAAUUUUUUAAUGACUCAUUCGGCGCCUU
RNAcentral lists this ribosomal RNA (520 nucleotides) under uncultured Glomus. RNAcentral's name for it is "SSU rRNA". It matches the Rfam family "Eukaryotic small subunit ribosomal RNA", at positions 569 to 1089 of the family's 1831-position model. Lineage: Eukaryota; Fungi; Glomeromycota; Glomeromycetes; Glomerales; Glomeraceae. The record is from RNAcentral.